UCCUGUACUUCUCCACUCCUCCAUGUACCCUGUUCCUGUUUGUUCCCUGCUCGUGCUCCAUAUUACCUACCUGUUUCACUAGUUUGGAGUCAAAUCUGACAACCGCCGCCUUUGCCCGCUCCUUCCUCCGGCUCUCCUAAUACUCUCCGGCGGCUGUCCCGGCUCCUUUAAAGGGCUCUCGCAGUCGGGACCGUGGGACCGCAUCCGACCGCUGUGUUCAACUUGAGGCGAAGAAAGACACGGGAAACUCCUCGGGAUUCUCCGUACA
Molecule: long non-coding RNA, 268 nt
Organism: Poecilia latipinna (sailfin molly)
Lineage: Eukaryota; Metazoa; Chordata; Actinopteri; Cyprinodontiformes; Poeciliidae
Exons: 3
Source: RefSeq, a predicted model, not a curated record